RNAcentral lists this long non-coding RNA (213 nucleotides) under Homo sapiens (human). RNAcentral's name for it is "LNC_000322". The record is from RNAcentral. Lineage: Eukaryota; Metazoa; Chordata; Mammalia; Primates; Hominidae.
GUGCACUGAUGUUUACAGUUGGGCUGGAAACUUUCCCCGUUUUGGUAGAUUCUGGAGUUAUAUUCACAGGGUCUGCCCUCUGACUGAGCUCUGCAGAUCCCCUUCAGAGCGGUGGAGCUGGCGCCGAAGUUGCAUUCCAGCCCCUUGGUGUGGUCGCAGGGCUGCGUUUUGCUGCAGUCCUCGUUGAGCUGCUUGGCGCAGACCUUACAGCAG